This is a long non-coding RNA of Sciurus carolinensis (gray squirrel), 1667 nucleotides long. RefSeq lists it as uncharacterized. The transcript has 2 exons. The record is from RefSeq and is a predicted model, not a curated record. NCBI's taxonomy places the organism in Eukaryota, Metazoa, Chordata, Mammalia, Rodentia, Sciuridae.
AUUGCUCUUUGCUUUUGCAACCCCGAAGCCAAAGAGGGGAGGGGGGAGGAAAGGGGGAUGUUAUAAAAGAAAAAAGCAAGAAAGAAGCUUAGAUUUGCAACACAUCGGAAAACCGGGGGAGCACCCCGGCUGGUCCGAUCUCCGUGCCCCGCGAGGGCCUUCCGGGUUUUGGAGCGAGUCCCUCGUUGUUCGCAAUGCCCCCCACUUUCACCAGGCUUAGGAUCCGAGAAAUCCAAGUAAAAAGUUCUCCCCCUGGGUCGUAGUGAGGUGUGUCAGGGUGAGAGUUGGGAUUUUUCAGGAAGCAGCAGCCAUCCCUCCUACCCCGGCUUCGGUAACUGGGCCAGAGCCCGCGUGGGGAUAAAGAGCAAAAUCCUGGUGGGUUUGCGCGAAGGAGCUUCUAGGGGGAAGUUGGAGCCGGGAGAUCGUGCUUCGCGCAUCUCCCCCUCGGUGUCUGCCUCCUGUCCCCUGCCAGCUCCCCCUUUAAUUAUUAUUUUCCCCCCCUCUCCUUUAAUCUAAUUUCUUCCAACUCCACCUUUGUUGUUACCGGCGUCACGCCCGGGCCAGCCAAUCCCCGCUACGCAAUCAGCUUGUCAAAAAGGCUCGGCCAGCCCUGAGAAAGCAGGCCUCGGGCGCUGCCCCCCGGCGGCGACGGGGAUCCACGAGGGGAGCCCUGCACCCCGGCCUUGCGGCCGGAGCUGCAGACCAGCAGCCCUCGGUUGACCGCCCGCAGUUCACCAUACUGCCGGUCGGGGAAGGAAAGUCCUGGGCGUGAACCACUCUUUAGUCUCCCAGUGCCUUUGGCUGUGGUUUGUCCAUCUUUGCCUCCUCUCCUCAGAGGAAAGGUUAUCAGGACAGGACGCAGGGAACCAGAAGACAGUGUGAAGGACGCCUGCCCCUGCUUCCAACAGGCCAGCCCAUGGUUUGGGCCAUCUCUCACGGGACAGCGCCACUGAUGCUGGCUCCCAGGCUGCCAGUUCCCACACCAGCACUGCUGCUGCCCAUGUCUCAACCAGCUGGGUCACACGGCCCCUUUGGACCGUCCCCUGGCACACUGCCUUCUCCAUCCUCGCACCGCCUGGCUGCUGCUGUAAUUCCUCUUGUCUCCUGGGAGAAAUGAGAUUCCUUUCCCAGGACUUCCACAUCCCACUUCUGCCACGUUGCACAAACAGGGUGGGAAACGCUGUCAAGAUCUGGCGUGUCCGGUUUUUUUUAGAGGGCAUGGCAUAUAGGAGAAGCAGAUUAACCAUGAUACUAAUGAAGUUUAAUCGUCAAGGCCCCUUCCUUACAAGGCCUGUUUAAGGCCUGUACUCAAUUUUGUGUUCAUUAUUUGUUUGUUUUUUUAGAGUCCCUCCCCUCAAUUGUACAUCUCCACAAACUCAGAUCUGCUCUUGGAGUAUACACAGGGCAUUUUGUGCAGGAUCAAGUCAUCUCGCACUACACUAAAAGCAGGAUUGAGCUUGGAAGGUCAAGUGAGAUGAUGUAUAUAAAACUGUAAGAAUCUCCACACUUCACUUGCCACAAUUAACAACAGGAGAAACUUAGACCCGAAGGAAGAUUCUACACCAAGAUCUGGAGUCCAGGUGUUCUGGCUUCUGGCCCUGAACUUCUUGGCUGAGCCAAGGGACUUUUUGGUAAAGUGCUUUGGAAUAAAACAAGAUGAACAUGAA